UACAGAGGGUGCAAGCGUUAAUCGGAAUUACUGGGCGUAAAGGGUGCGUAGGCGGCCUUGUAAGUCGGAUGUGAAAGCCCUGAGCUUAACUUGGGAACUGCAUUCGAUACUGCAUGGCUAGAGUACAGAAGAGGAAAGUGGAAUUCCCAGUGUAGCGGUGAAAUGCGUAGAUAUUGGGAAGAACAUCAGUGGCGAAGGCGACUUUCUGGACUGAUACUGACGCUGAGGUACGAAAGCGUGGGGAGCAAACAGG
Molecule: ribosomal RNA, 253 nt
Filed under: uncultured bacterium
Lineage: Bacteria
Description: partial 16S ribosomal RNA
Rfam family: Bacterial small subunit ribosomal RNA
Source: RNAcentral